AAAGUUCUUCAGAGAGACCUUGAGAUGUAGGAUGUGUUCAGGGAAGACGAGUACCUCUGGCAUGAGGCUGCCUAGCCAUUUUCAGGGCUGCUCACCACCUUUGGUUUCUACUUGAUUCACUUAACUCUCACCUGUGACUCUAACAAGUUGUAGCCCGCUCAGCAGCCACAUUCCAGUGAACCGUUUUGGCACACAGGCUACACCAGGGUGAGGGUAACCAAGGGUAAUCAAAUCCAUCAGUGCGUGGGAGGUGUUUGUGAAGCAAAGCAUGUGAAGACUUACUCUGGUGGGUAAUGGGUGAUGAGAACAAUUUGUUCCAAUGGCCAUGAGGCAGCUGAAGCAGGCACUGUGGAGAGCUUAGAGCUUGGUUAGACUUGGAAGACUACAGUCACCCACUGCGUCCUGAGCUUACAGGAUAAACACAGCAGGUGUACGUAACAAAGGUAAAUAACACGACUAGGAUCGUCAGAUCAUGGAGUCUUUCCCCUUUAAAGGAGAAUCACACAGAGGAGGUCCUUGUCAAAAAGAAAAUCUCUAUGGAUGCCAAAAUAUAACAGGACCUUUUGUGAUUGUAAACAAUAGUAGACAAAGUUGAUGCCUAUGGAUUGGGAAACAGCUCAACAAAUUGUGAUACACAAAUGUAAAAGGAUAUUAUUAUGAUAUAAGGAAACAAUGAACAUGACAAAUACAGAGAAGCAUGGGAAGACUGACACAAACUGAUACAAAGUGAAGAAAGAGCAACCAGGAAAACAGAAUACAUAAGGAUUACAUCUGUAUGUCAAUGGAAUGUUUUGAAAUCAACAAAGAAUAAUCAUGGCUCCAAAGACGAGAUAGAAGAUGCCUCCCUCUACUCUUUUUGCAGAGAAAAGCUUGGAUUUGGAAUCAAGACACUGAACCCUACUUGUUGUCUUUGAGCAAGUUUCCUCACCUCCAAGAGCCUUAUUUUCCUCAUCUGUAACAUGGGAAAGGGGAAGGAGAGGGAAAUAUGCAUUUAUUAAGCACC
Molecule: long non-coding RNA, 1003 nt
Organism: Vombatus ursinus (common wombat)
Lineage: Eukaryota; Metazoa; Chordata; Mammalia; Diprotodontia; Vombatidae
Exons: 3
Source: RefSeq, a predicted model, not a curated record